RNAcentral lists this non-coding RNA (397 nucleotides) under Gongylonema pulchrum. Its description in RNAcentral is "Eukaryotic large subunit ribosomal RNA". It matches the Rfam family "Eukaryotic large subunit ribosomal RNA", at positions 2016 to 2271 of the family's 3401-position model. The record is from Rfam by way of RNAcentral. Lineage: Eukaryota; Metazoa; Nematoda; Chromadorea; Rhabditida; Gongylonematidae.
CAGCAAACUGACCGCGGGCGGUACAGCACGGGCUCUUGGGGGAGGGAGGGGGGAGGGUGGUUCAUGCAGUGCAACGCUUGUUGAAAUAUGACCGUUACAACUGCGUAUCACUUCGUUCCCUUGCGAUGUUGAUUCUUCGGUCGGCGCUAAAUAGUCAGCUUAGAACUGGCACGGAUUCGGGAAUCCGACUGUUUAAUUGAAACAGAGAAGACAGAUGCCCUUGCGGGUGUUGACUGUAUCUGAUUUCUGCCCAGUGCUUCGAAUGUAAAAGUGAAGAAAUUCAACUGAGCGCGGGUAAUCGACGAGAGUAAUUAGAGGUGACAAGGAGUAGGGAGGAGAGUCCCUUCCUCCCUGGAACUGUGCAAAAACCAGGGAAGGAGUUGUGAGAUUGCUACUC